Molecule: transfer RNA, 69 nt
Filed under: Saccopharynx lavenbergi
Lineage: Eukaryota; Metazoa; Chordata; Actinopteri; Anguilliformes; Saccopharyngidae
Description: tRNA-Gly
Source: RNAcentral
AUCUUUCUAGUAUAAUAAGUUACAAGCGACUUCCAAUCGUUUAAUCCUGAUUCAGCCCAGGGAAAGAUA